AGAGUUUGAUCCUGGCUCAGGAUGAACGCUGGCGGCGUGCUUAACACACGCAAGUCGAACGGUGAACCAGGAGCUUGCUCUUGGGGAUCAGUGGCGAACGGUGAGUAACACGUGAGCAACCUGCCCCGGACUCUGGGAUAAGCGCUGGAAACGGCGUCUAAUACUGGAUACGAGCUGCGACCGCAUGGUCAGCAGCUGGAAAGAUUUUUCGGUCUGGGAUGGGCUCGCGGCCUAUCAGCUUGUUGGUGAGGUAAUGGCUCACCAAGGCGUCGACGGGUAGCCGGCCUGAGAGGGUGACCGGCCACACUGGGACUGAGACACGGCCCAGACUCCUACGGGAGGCAGCAGUGGGGAAUAUUGCACAAUGGGCGAAAGCCUGAUGCAGCAACGCCGCGUGAGGGACGACGGCCUUCGGGUUGUAAACCUCUUUUAGCAGGGAAGAAGCGAAAGUGACGGUACCUGCAGAAAAAGCGCCGGCUAACUACGUGCCAGCAGCCGCGGUAAUACGUAGGGCGCAAGCGUUAUCCGGAAUUAUUGGGCGUAAAGAGCUCGUAGGCGGUUUGUCGCGUCUGCUGUGAAAUCACGAGGCUCAACCUCGGGCCUGCAGUGGGUACGGGCAGACUAGAGUGCGGUAGGGGAGAUUGGAAUUCCUGGUGUAGCGGUGGAAUGCGCAGAUAUCAGGAGGAACACCGAUGGCGAAGGCAGAUCUCUGGGCCGUAACUGACGCUGAGGAGCGAAAGGGUGGGGAGCAAACAGGCUUAGAUACCCUGGUAGUCCACCCCGUAAACGUUGGGAACUAGUUGUGGGGUCCAUUCCACGGAUUCCGUGACGCAGCUAACGCAUUAAGUUCCCCGCCUGGGGAGUACGGCCGCAAGGCUAAAACUCAAAGGAAUUGACGGGGACCCGCACAAGCGGCGGAGCAUGCGGAUUAAUUCGAUGCAACGCGAAGAACCUUACCAAGGCUUGACAUACACGAGAACGCUGCAGAAAUGUAGAACUCUUUGGACACUUGUGAACAGGUGGUGCAUGGUUGUCGUCAGCUCGUGUCGUGAGAUGUUGGGUUAAGUCCCGCAACGAGCGCAACCCUCGUUCUAUGUUGCCAGCACGUAAUGGUGGGAACUCAUGGGAUACUGCCGGGGUCAACUCGGAGGAAGGUGGGGAUGACGUCAAAUCAUCAUGCCCCUUAUGUCUUGGGCUUCACGCAUGCUACAAUGGCCGGUACAAAGGGCUGCAAUACCGUGAGGUGGAGCGAAUCCCAAAAAGCCGGUCCCAGUUCGGAUUGAGGUCUGCAACUCGACCUCAUGAAGUCGGAGUCGCUAGUAAUCGCAGAUCAGCAACGCUGCGGUGAAUACGUUCCCGGGUCUUGUACACACCGCCCGUCAAGUCAUGAAAGUCGGUAACACCUGAAGCCGGUGGCCCAACCCUUGUGGAGGGAGCCGUCGAAGGUGGGAUCGGUAAUUAGGACUAAGUCGUAACAAGGUAACC
Molecule: ribosomal RNA, 1485 nt
Filed under: uncultured bacterium
Lineage: Bacteria
Description: bacterial SSU rRNA
Rfam family: Bacterial small subunit ribosomal RNA
Source: RNAcentral